GAUGAACGCUGGCGGCGUGCCUCAAACAUGCAAGUCGAGCGAGGCUAUGAGUUACCGCAAGGUAAGGCAUAGCCUAGCGGCGAACGGGUGAGUAACACGUGGGUAACCUACCUGGAAGACAGGGAUAACGAUUCGAAAGGGUCGCUAAUACCUGAUAAUAUCCAUCUGCCGGAUGGCGGAGGGAAGAAAGGGGAAACCCGCUUUCAGAUGGGCCCGCGUCCCAUCAGCUAGUUGGUAAGGUAAAGGCUUACCAAGGCGACGACGGGUAGCCGGUCUGAGAGGAUGUACGGCCACACUGGGACUGAGAUACGGCCCAGACUCCUACGGGAGGCAGCAGUUGGGAAUCUUAGGCAAUGGACGAAAGUCUGACCUAGCGACGCCGCGUGAGGGAAGAAGGCCUUCGGGUUGUAACCUACUGUCAUGGGGAAGGAAGGAAGUGACGGUACCCAACGAGGAAGCCCUGCUAACUACGUGCCAGCAGCCGCGGUAACAUAACUCGUA
This 501-nucleotide ribosomal RNA is filed under the name uncultured bacterium. RNAcentral describes it as "bacterial SSU rRNA". It matches the Rfam family "Bacterial small subunit ribosomal RNA", at positions 28 to 531 of the family's 1533-position model. The record is from RNAcentral.